CGCGUCUCCNNNNNNNNNNNNNNNCCCCCCGGGACUACACGAAGGAUCUUCCGGGACUGAGAGGUGCCACCGCCUUGGUGCGGUUCCGCCCUCACCGCGGGGGCGACCCGGCGGGUUCCUCGCGCGGAGCGGAUUCUGCAUUGGCCGCGGGCAGCUCUGGGUUUGGCCAGCAUCUGCUUUGCCCAGUGGCAGGCCCGGGGCCUUUCGGACGCUCGCUCGCGGCGCGGCCCAGCCCAGGGGAGCUGCGGCGGAGCGCUGCCGUCUGAGUGCGUCGGUGGCCGAGGGUGGGCCUCUGACCUUCCUUCGCUCCGUGUUCUGGUGCGGUGUCUUUCAUAGGGACUGCGUCGCUUUGUAUGCAUCCGUCAGAAAUAGUGGUCUGAUCAUGCCAGUCACUCCAGAAUGCGUGGAGACAAAGCAGCAAGAGUUGGCAGAAGUUAAGAGAGGAAAUAUGGCAACAGUUACUGCUUUUGGAAGACAAUGA
Molecule: long non-coding RNA, 481 nt
Filed under: Numida meleagris (helmeted guineafowl)
Lineage: Eukaryota; Metazoa; Chordata; Aves; Galliformes; Numididae
Description: lncRNA (ENSNMEG00000000995.1)
Source: RNAcentral